RNAcentral lists this ribosomal RNA (406 nucleotides) under Triacanthella perfecta. Its description in RNAcentral is "partial 28S ribosomal RNA". The record is from RNAcentral. Lineage: Eukaryota; Metazoa; Arthropoda; Collembola; Poduromorpha; Hypogastruridae.
CCUCUCGGGGGUAAGCGGGCAGAACUUGCAAGUAUUGAUGAGAGAUUCAGACUUAGUAUUGAUGGCUGAGAGUAUUUGUUAAGUUGUUUGUUCGCAAACUGACUGAUUUGUGCUCUUUGAUCUAUUGAUAAUGCGUCGCACUUCUCUUGUCAUCCGGGUUGAAUGUGACUAAUGUUGUAGUUUAGGUAUUGAGAAUCUGUGAGUCCUUGUUGGCUCAAGUCUUGAUUUCCAACUACUAUUGUGGUCAUUGAAUGAGAACAUGCGAUUAUCGCGUUUAAAGAUUUACACAAGUAGGGUGUACAUUGUAUGUGGACGAGUAAUCGUAGCAUGUGAUGUAGGCUGAUUGUUGGUGUGAGUCUUUAGCAAUGUUCAGUAUUGCAAUCUAAAGCAUGCGUGGUCUGCCUGU